This 180-nucleotide non-coding RNA is filed under the name Dehalobacter sp. Lineage: Bacteria; Bacillati; Bacillota; Clostridia; Eubacteriales; Desulfitobacteriaceae. The record is from RNAcentral.
UAAUCAUAUAUUCUUUUUGGUGUCUCUUAUGGAGAAGAAUAGGGAAUCAGGUGCAAAUCCUGGACGGACCCACCGCUGUAAAUAGUUGUGAUGACUGUACAAUGCCACUGAGAAAUUGGGAAGGCACAGAAGUCGGUUAAAACUAUGAGUCAGAAGACCUGCCAAUAAAGAUACGUAAUG